GCCUGCUCCGUGCAGCGGCCCCCAGGCGUUCUUUCCCGCCCCGGCGUCGGACGCAUUGGCUGGACUGGGUUGCGGCUGAGCCCUGGCUCCUGGCUGAGCGCUUCGCUCCCAUCUCGCUGUAGUGAGAAGACCCCAGAAAUGGAAACUUUCUCUGUUGCCCUGGCUGGAGAAUGGUGUAAUCAUAGAUCAUUGCAUCCUCAAACUCCUGGGUCAAGCAAUCCUGCCUCAGCCUCCCAAUUAGCUGUGACUACAGUGAAAUCCUACUGUCCAACAUGCUGUAUUAGGCAGUGAGGCUUUAGGGAACUGGAGAUCUUAUGAAUGGGAUCAGUGUCCGUAUAUAAAAGGAACUGCAGAGAGCUCUCUAGCUCUCUUUCUGCCAACAUAAAAUCAGCUGUCUGCAACCUGGAAGAGGGCCCUCACCAGAACCUGUCUGUGCUGGACCCUGAUCGUGGACCUCUCGCCUUCAUAACUGUGAAAAAUAAGUGUCUGUUGUUUAUACCACUUAGUUUAUGAUAAUUUGUUUGCCCAAAUUUAUUAAGACAUAUGCCUUGGCAUAGGUUUUUUUUGCAGUUUUUGGCUGGGGCUGGGUUUGAACUCACCACCUCCGGCAUAUGGGGCCAGUGCCCUACUCCUCUGAGCCACAGGCGCUGCCCAGGUUUUUUUUUUUUUUAAUUUCUCCUGCUUGUGGUUUAUUGAGCUCUUUGGAAAUGUAGGUAUAUAGUUUUCAUUAGAUUUGGGAAAUUUUCAGCCAUUAUUUCCUGAAAAACGAUUUUUUUUUUUUUUUUUGAGACAGAAUGUCACUCUGUCAUUUUGGCUAGAGUGCAGAAACACAUGGGCUCAAGCUAUCUUCCUGACUCAGCCUACAGAGUAGCUGGAACUACAGGUCCCUGUCACCAUGCCCAGCUAAUUUUCCUGUUUUUAGUAGAGAUGUGGUCUCGCUCUUGCUCAAGCUGGUUUCAGACUCCAGAGCUCAAGCAAUCCUCCUGUGGCCCCCUAGAGUGCUAGUGAUACAGGACAAGUGGUAUCCCAGCCAGCUUGUGGAGCUGGCGGGCACGGACCGGCUGCCUCCACCUUGGCGGCAUUGGUGCGGUGGCAGCGAGCAGAGG
Molecule: long non-coding RNA, 1106 nt
Organism: Nycticebus coucang (slow loris)
Lineage: Eukaryota; Metazoa; Chordata; Mammalia; Primates; Lorisidae
Exons: 3
Source: RefSeq, a predicted model, not a curated record